RNAcentral lists this ribosomal RNA (253 nucleotides) under uncultured bacterium. Its description in RNAcentral is "partial 16S ribosomal RNA". It matches the Rfam family "Bacterial small subunit ribosomal RNA", at positions 524 to 776 of the family's 1533-position model. The record is from RNAcentral.
UACGUAGGGUGCGAGCGUUGUCCGGAAUUAUUGGGCGUAAAGAGCUCGUAGGCGGCCUGUCGCGUCGGUUGUGAAAGCCCGGGGCUUAACCCCGGGUCUGCAGUCGAUACGGGCAGGCUAGAGUUCGGUAGGGGAGAUCGGAAUUCCUGGUGUAGCGGUGAAAUGCGCAGAUAUCAGGAAGAACACCGAUGGCGAAAGCAGCUCUCUGGGACGGUACUGACGCUGAGGAGCGAAAGCGUGGGGAGCAAACAGG